AUACGGAAGGUCCGGGCGUUAUCCGGAUUUAUUGGGUUUAAAGGGAGCGCAGGCGGAGAUGCAAGCGUGACGUCAAAUUUCGGGGCUCAACCCCGUCUCGCGUCGCGAACUGCGUCCCUUGGUUGCGGGAAGGGGAGGCGGAACUCGUGGUGGAGCGGGGGAAUGCAUAGAUAUCACGAAGAACUCCGAUCGCGAAGGCAGCCUUCCGGCCCGUCAACGACGCUCAUGCUCGAAGGUGCGGGUAUCAAACAGGAUUAGAUACCCUGGUAGUCCGCACAGUAAACGAUGGACACCCGCGGUUUGGCCUGUAUGGCUGAGCCGCCAAGCGAAAGCGUUAAGUGUCCCACCUGGGGAGUACGCCGGCAACGGUGAAACUCAAAUGAAUUGACGGGG
Molecule: ribosomal RNA, 393 nt
Filed under: uncultured bacterium
Lineage: Bacteria
Description: partial 16S ribosomal RNA
Rfam family: Bacterial small subunit ribosomal RNA
Source: RNAcentral